GUUUAUAUAGCUCAGUAGGUAGAGCAGAGGAUUGAAAAUCCUUGUGUCGGUGGUUCAAAUCCACUUUUAAACG
This 73-nucleotide transfer RNA is filed under the name Amicula sp. isolate GU52X-4 cfCalB7. RNAcentral's name for it is "tRNA-Phe". It matches the Rfam family "tRNA". Rfam says of the family: Transfer RNA (tRNA) molecules are approximately 80 nucleotides in length. Their secondary structure includes four short double-helical elements and three loops (D, anti-codon, and T loops). Further hydrogen bonds mediate the characteristic L-shaped molecular structure. tRNAs have two regions of fundamental functional importance: the anti-codon, which is responsible for specific mRNA codon recognition, and the 3' end, to which the tRNAs corresponding amino acid is attached (by aminoacyl-tRNA synthetases). tRNAs cope with the degeneracy of the genetic code in two manners: having more than one tRNA (with a specific anti-codon) for a particular amino acid; and 'wobble' base-pairing, i.e. permitting non-standard base-pairing at the 3rd anti-codon position. The record is from RNAcentral. Lineage: Eukaryota; Bacillariophyta; Bacillariophyceae; Diploneidales; Diploneidaceae.